GGGAAAGAAGCACCCAGUGGCACUGAGUAUAGUAGUAUCUAGUGUCUGGACCCAGCUCACUCUGCUUCUCAAAGCAAGACCCGAGGAGCAGAGGUAUCUGUUCUAUUCACUUUGUUUUUGCACUUGGAUUCUGACAGGAAUUUAAGCCACUGGGAUCAGGAGUGCAUUAGGGCACAGUUAUGGCAAGACACUUGUCUGGGAGUCACUCAUUUUCAAAAGAAAACUGGACACAUUUCCAUCAGGCAGCAAGUGAAAAAUAUUCAGAGAGAUCUAUUUUGAUAUUUAAUCUCCAAAUCUUAUAUUUGGGAUUGAGGUCAAUAUCCUAUUUGAUAGUCUCCCAGCUAAGAAUCUACUUUCAUUUGCUCACUGCCUGUUGUGUAUGCAAAACGAGUACAACAUUAAUCUAGUGCAAAUGGCAUCUACGAAAUUUUCCAGGAACAUUAGCAGAUUGUUGGCACUUUACGAAGGACUUCGCAGGACCAGAAUGAGCUUGACACAGAGAAAGAGUCUCACUGUGUUGCCAGUGUUGGUCUGAAACUCCUAUCUUCAAGUGAUCCUCCUGCCUCGGCCUCCCAAAGCUCUGGAAUUACAGGCAUGAGCCACCAUACCCAGCCCUUGACAGAGUUUAACGAGUGACACUGUCUUGAAUCUGAUGUUGGUGUUCUGAAGUACAAU
RNAcentral lists this long non-coding RNA (675 nucleotides) under Homo sapiens (human). RNAcentral describes it as "non-protein coding lnc-CSNK1G3-11:1". The record is from RNAcentral. Lineage: Eukaryota; Metazoa; Chordata; Mammalia; Primates; Hominidae.